This 492-nucleotide ribosomal RNA is filed under the name uncultured bacterium. RNAcentral's name for it is "partial 16S ribosomal RNA". It matches the Rfam family "Bacterial small subunit ribosomal RNA", at positions 29 to 507 of the family's 1533-position model. The record is from RNAcentral.
AGUGAACGCUGGCGGUAGGCCUAACACAUGCAAGUCGAACGGCAGCACAGUAAGAGCUUGCUCUUACGGGUGGCGAGUGGCGGACGGGUGAGGAAUACAUCGGAAUCUACUUUUUCGUGGGGGAUAACGUAGGGAAACUUACGCUAAUACCGCAUACGACCUACGGGUGAAAGCAGGGGAUCUUCGGACCUUGCGCGAUUGAAUGAGCUGAUGUCGGAUUAGCUAGUUGGCGGGGUAAAGGCCCACCAAGGCGACGAUCCGUAGCUGGUCUGAGAGGAUGAUCAGCCACACUGGAACUGAGACACGGUCCAGACUCCUACGGGAGGCAGCAGUGGGGAAUAUUGGACAAUGGGCGCAAGCCUGAUCCAGCCAUACCGCGUGGGUGAAGAAGGCCUUCGGGUUGUAAAGCCCUUUUGUUGGGAAAAAAAAGCAGCAGGUUAAUACCCCGCUGUUCUGACGGUACCCAAAGAAUAAGCACCGGCUAACUUCGUG